AGAGUUUGAUCCUGGCUCAGGAUGAACGCUGGCGGCGUGCCUAACACAUGCAAGUCGAGCGAAGCACUUACUUUAGAUUUCUUCGGAAUGAUGAAGUUUGUGACUGAGCGGCGGACGGGUGAGUAACGCGUGGGCAACCUGCCCUGUACAGGGGGAUAACAGUUAGAAAUGACUGCUAAUACCGCAUAAGCCCACAGCUUCGCAUGAAGCAGUGGGAAAAACUCCGGUGGUACAGGAUGGGCCCGCGUCUGAUUAGCUAGUUGGUAAGGUAACGGCUUACCAAGGCGACGAUCAGUAGCCGACCUGAGAGGGUGACCGGCCACAUUGGGACUGAGACACGGCCCAAACUCCUACGGGAGGCAGCAGUGGGGAAUAUUGCACAAUGGGGGAAACCCUGAUGCAGCGACGCCGCGUGAGCGAUGAAGUAUUUCGGUAUGUAAAGCUCUAUCAGCAGGGAAGAAAGUGACGGUACCUGACUAAGAAGCCCCGGCUAACUACGUGCCAGCAGCCGCGGUAAUACGUAGGGGGCAAGCGUUAUCCGGAUUUACUGGGUGUAAAGGGAGCGUAGACGGAAGUGCAAGUCUGAAGUGAAAGCCCGGGGCUCAACCUCGGGACUGCUUUGGAAACUGUCAGGCUAGAGUGCUGGAGAGGUAAGUGGAAUUCCUAGUGUAGCGGUGAAAUGCGUAGAUAUUAGGAGGAACACCAGUGGCGAAGGCGGCUUACUGGACAGUGACUGACGUUGAGGCUCGAAAGCGUGGGGAGCAAACAGGAUUAGAUACCCUGGUAGUCCACGCCGUAAACGAUGACUACUAGGUGUCGGGUAGCAAAGCUAUUCGGUGCCCCAGCAAACGCAAU
Molecule: ribosomal RNA, 855 nt
Filed under: uncultured bacterium
Lineage: Bacteria
Description: bacterial SSU rRNA
Rfam family: Bacterial small subunit ribosomal RNA
Source: RNAcentral